This 266-nucleotide ribosomal RNA is filed under the name uncultured prokaryote. Its description in RNAcentral is "partial 16S ribosomal RNA". It matches the Rfam family "Bacterial small subunit ribosomal RNA", at positions 524 to 788 of the family's 1533-position model. The record is from RNAcentral.
UACGUAGGGUGCGAGCGUUGUCCGGAAUUACUGGGCGUAAAGAGCUCGUAGGUGGUUUGUCACGUCGUCUGUGAAAUUCCGGGGCUUAACCUCGGGCGUGUAGGCGAUACGGGCAAUACUUGAGUGCUGUAGGGGAGACUGGAAUUCCUGGUGUAGCGGUGAAAUGCGCAGAUAUCAGGAGGAACACCAAUGGCGAAGGCAGGUCUCUGGGCAGUUACUGACGCUGAGGAGCGAAAGCAUGGGUAGCGAACAGGAUUAGAUACCCU